Molecule: ribosomal RNA, 1739 nt
Filed under: Vibrio parahaemolyticus 3644
Lineage: Bacteria; Pseudomonadati; Pseudomonadota; Gammaproteobacteria; Vibrionales; Vibrionaceae
Description: bacterial LSU rRNA
Rfam family: Bacterial large subunit ribosomal RNA
Source: RNAcentral
GUAUAUUGGGUAGGGGAGCGUUCUGUAAGCGGUUGAAGGUGUGUGGUAACGCAUGCUGGACGUAUCAGAAGUGCGAAUGCUGACAUGAGUAACGAUAAAGGGGGUGAAAAACCUCCUCGCCGGAAGACCAAGGGUUCCUGUCCAACGUUAAUCGGGGCAGGGUAAGUCGACCCCUAAGGCGAGGCCGAAAGGCGUAGUCGAUGGGAAACGGGUUAAUAUUCCCGUACUUCUUACAAUUGCGAUGGGGGGACGGAGAAGGCUAGGUGGGCCUGGCGACGGUUGUCCAGGUUCAAGUGCGUAGGCUGAGAGAUUAGGUAAAUCCGGUUUCUCUUAAGGCUGAGACACGACGUCGAGCACCUACGGGUGUGAAGUCAUUGAUGCCAUGCUUCCAGGAAAAGCCUCUAAGCUUCAGAUUGUAAGGAAUCGUACCCCAAACCGACACAGGUGGUCGGGUAGAGAAUACCAAGGCGCUUGAGAGAACUCGGGUGAAGGAACUAGGCAAAAUGGUACCGUAACUUCGGGAGAAGGUACGCUCUCGACGGUGAAGUCCCUUGCGGAUGGAGCUAUUGAGAGUCGCAGAUACCAGGUGGCUGCAACUGUUUAUUAAAAACACAGCACUGUGCAAAAUCGUAAGAUGACGUAUACGGUGUGACGCCUGCCCGGUGCCGGAAGGUUAAUUGAUGGGGUUAGACUUCGGUCGAAGCUCUUGAUCGAAGCCCCGGUAAACGGCGGCCGUAACUAUAACGGUCCUAAGGUAGCGAAAUUCCUUGUCGGGUAAGUUCCGACCUGCACGAAUGGCGUAAUGAUGGCCACGCUGUCUCCACCCGAGACUCAGUGAAAUUGAAAUCGCUGUGAAGAUGCAGUGUACCCGCGGCUAGACGGAAAGACCCCGUGAACCUUUACUACAGCUUGGCACUGAACAUUGACCCUACAUGUGUAGGAUAGGUGGGAGGCUUUGAAGCACGUACGCCAGUAUGUGUGGAGCCGUCCUUGAAAUACCACCCUUGUAGUGUUGAUGUUCUAACGUCGACCCCUUAUCGGGGUUGCGGACAGUGCCUGGUGGGUAGUUUGACUGGGGCGGUCUCCUCCCAAAGAGUAACGGAGGAGCACGAAGGUGGGCUAAUCACGGUUGGACAUCGUGAGGUUAGUGCAAUGGCAUAAGCCCGCUUGACUGCGAGAAUGACAAUUCGAGCAGGUGCGAAAGCAGGUCAUAGUGAUCCGGUGGUUCUGAAUGGAAGGGCCAUCGCUCAACGGAUAAAAGGUACUCCGGGGAUAACAGGCUGAUACCGCCCAAGAGUUCAUAUCGACGGCGGUGUUUGGCACCUCGAUGUCGGCUCAUCACAUCCUGGGGCUGAAGUCGGUCCCAAGGGUAUGGCUGUUCGCCAUUUAAAGUGGUACGCGAGCUGGGUUUAGAACGUCGUGAGACAGUUCGGUCCCUAUCUGCCGUGGGCGUUGGAAGAUUGAAGGGGGCUGCUCCUAGUACGAGAGGACCGGAGUGGACGAACCUCUGGUGUUCGGGUUGUGUCGCCAGACGCAUUGCCCGGUAGCUAAGUUCGGAAUCGAUAACCGCUGAAAGCAUCUAAGCGNNGGACUCUACUCAGAAGGGACUAUGAAUAAGUAUCCUAAAGGGUUGUCGGAGACUACGACGUUGAUAGGUCAGGUGUGUAAGUGCUGUGAGGCAUUGAGCUAACUGAUACUAAUUGCCCGUGAGGCUUAACCAUACAACACCCAAGGGGUUU